UUAUUCAUGGCUCUUUGAAAUCAUUAAGAUUUGUCUGUCCUUUGAGGUAAGAUGACGCAAUCUGUGCAUAUUUCACUUGAAAUCAGCGUCAUUCUUACUUGAUUUUAUGCAAAAAGAUUAUUUCAUCCUAUUGAUAGUCCAAGGUCUUGUUGAAGUGGUUUUUACUAAUCAAACUAAGCGAUUCAAAACAACACUCAGUGGUGCUUUUCAUAAAUAGAGAGGGUCCUCGUAACAUUAAAAACCAUACACAGCUGGCUGAUACUAACAUUACAAAGAAGAACGUCGAAGUAACAACUUCAGCAGGUCAUCUAAUUCUCAAUAUGAAGACAUUCACCAUAGUGAUACUACUUGCGGGACUGCUCAUGACAGGUCACGCCCAACAAGCCUCAGAGGAGGAAGACGCUCCCGUCAGACCGACGGUUGUACGAGACAGGAGCGCAGUCGAGAGUGCCAGUCCUGAAGCUAUAGCUAAAAUGAUUGCCGAUUUUAGGAGGGCUGUAGCUAGAAUGGGCCUGACUAUUGAUGAUCUGAUCGCUGAUUUAAACCUAUGAACAUUUUAAAUGAGAAUCAGCAAUGGUGUCAAGUGAGAAAUGUAAAGUCUAAAUUGAAGAAAGAACCCCAUAUUAACUACUUGCAAUGUUUACAAAUAUAUUGAAAUAAUGACUUCGUUGACGUUUGUACAUCUAUAUGUCAAAUUUGAAAUUCAAAAUAAAAUACUGCUUUUACUGAA
Long non-coding RNA from Magallana angulata, 730 nucleotides. RefSeq lists it as uncharacterized. The transcript has 2 exons. The record is from RefSeq and is a predicted model, not a curated record. NCBI's taxonomy places the organism in Eukaryota, Metazoa, Mollusca, Bivalvia, Ostreida, Ostreidae.